CUCAACAUGGCGGAAGGAGUAAGUGGUGACUUGGGGACAGAUAAGAGGAGUUGCAUUGUUAGUGUUUUAGCAAGAUGAGGAAACAGCAAAUUAGUUGGCUAAAGAGACUAUAAGACCAACCUAUUUACUCUGCAAUCAAUUCUUAGAAGUAGCCUAGUCUGUUGAUAUCAAGGACCCCCUUUAUACAAUGCCAUACAGUCUCAUUAGACAUACUCGUGACUACACUUCAAGGUUCAGAGAGAGCUACGCUAAGCUACAUGACAUUUGUCACAGUCUAUGAGCCAGCUAUCAGCCUAUCAUCACUCUCUGGUAAAGGGAGGUUAUCUGACGGUAGUGGUGUGGUAUAGGGAGGUUAUCUGACGGUAGUGGUGUGGUAUAGGGAGGUUAUCUAACGGUAGUGGUGUGGUAUAGGGAGGUUAUCUGACGGUAAUGGUGUGGUAUAGGGAGGUUAUCUGACGGUAGUGGUGUGGUAUAGGGAGGUUAUCUAACGGUAGUGGUGUGGUAUAGGGAGGUUAUCUGACGGUAAUGGUGUGGUAUAGGGAGGUUAUCUAAUGGUAGUGGUGUGGUACAGGGAGGUUAUCUAAUGGUAGUGGUGUGGUAUAGGGAGGUUAUCUGACGGUAGUGGUGUGGUAUAGGGAGGUUAUCUGACGGUAGUGGUGUGGUAUAGGGAGGUUAUAUGAUGGUAGUGGUGUGGUAUAUGGAGGUUAUCUAACAGUUGUGGUGUGGUAUAGGGAGGUUAUAUGAUGGUAGUGGUGUGGUAUAUGGAGGUUAUCUAACAGUUGUGGUGUGGUAUAGGGAGGUUAUCUAAUGGUAGUGGUGUGGUACAGGGAGGUUAUAUGAUGGUGGUGGUGUGGUAUAUGGAGGUUAUCUAACAGUUGUGGUGUGGUAUAGGGAGGUUAUCUAAUGGUAGUGGUGUGGUACAGGGAGGUUAUAUGAUGGUAGUGGUGUGGUACAGGGAGGUUAUCUAAUGGUAGUGGUGUGGUACAGGGAGGUUAUAUGAUGGUAGUGGUGUGGUACAGGGAGAUUAUCUAAUGGUAGUGGUGUGGUACAGGGAGGUUAUAUGAUGGUAGUGGUGUGGUACAGGGAGGUUAUCUAAUGGUAGUGGUGUGGUACAGGGAGGUUAUAUGAUGGUAGUGGUGUGGUACAGGGAGGUUAUAUGAUGGUAGUGGUGUGGUACAGGGAGGUUAUCUAAUGGCAGUGGUGUGGUAUAGGGAGGUUAUCUAAUGGUAGUGGUGUGGUAUAGGGAGGUUAUCUGACGGUAGUGGUGUGGUAUAGGGAGGUUAUCUAACAGUAGUGGUGUGGUACAGGGAGGUUAUCUAAUGGUAGUGGUGUGGUACAGGCAGGUUAUCUAAUUGUGUUGUGGUAUAGGUAGGUUAUCUGAUGGUGUGGUACAGGCAGGUUAUCUAAUUGUGUUGUGGUAUAGGUAGGUUAUCUGAUGGUGCUGUACAGGCAGGUUAUCUAAUUGUGUUGUGGUAUAGGUAGGUUAUCUGAUGGUAGUGGUGUGGUACAGGCAGGUUAUCUAAUUGUGUUGUGGUAUAGGUAGGAUAUCUGAUGGUGUGGUGUGGUACAGGCAGGUUAUCUAAUUGUGUUGUGGUAUAGGUAGGUUAUCUAUUUGUGUUGUGGUAUAGGUAGGUUAUCUGAUGGUAGUGGUGUGGUACAGGCAGGUUAUCUAAUUGUGUUGUGGUGUGCUAUAGGGAGAUUAUCUGAUGGACGGUAGUCCGGGGUUGCAUGUGUGUUUAACACACUCCUGGCAGAUAAAGCUUACCUGACAGGAGAAAGCUACCUGGACACACAGUCACUCUUCAGGAGAAAAGCUCUCCCCCUGUCAGCACAAACAGCCUGUCCACGUGUACUUGAUCCAACGCAGCUAACACCUUUUUCUCUUGCCACUCUCACACGCACAAGAGCAGCAUCAAAUUUAUAGGGGCUUGCUUGCUGGUUUCUGUUUCUCUCUCUCUGUCUCCCUCUCUCUCUGUCUCUCU
This is a non-coding RNA of Oncorhynchus mykiss (rainbow trout), 1982 nucleotides long. The record is from RefSeq and is a predicted model, not a curated record. Lineage: Eukaryota; Metazoa; Chordata; Actinopteri; Salmoniformes; Salmonidae.